UCUGGAAACUGUNUGACUUGAGUGCAGAAGGGGAGAGUGGAAUUCCAUGUGUAGCGGUGAAAUGCGUAGAUAUAUGGAGGANCACCAGUGGCGAAAGCGGCUCUCUGGUCUGUCACUGACGCUGAGGCUCGAAAGCGUGGGUAGCGAACAGGAUUAGAUACCCUGGUAGUNCACGCCGUAAACGAUGAGUGCUAGGUGUUAGGCCCUUUCCGGGGCUUAGUGCCGGAGCUAACGCAAUAAGCACUCCGCCUGGGGAGUACGACCGCAAGGUUGAAACUCAAAGGAAUUGACGGGGGCCCGCACAAGCGGUGGAGCAUGUGGUUUAAUUCGAAGCAACGCGAAGAACCUUACCAGGUCUUGACAUCCCGAUGCUAUUCUUAGAGAUAGGAAGUUACUUCGGUACAUCGGAGACAGGUGGUGCAUGGUUGUCGUCAGCUCGUGUCGUGAGAUGUUGGGUUAAGUCCCGCAACGAGCGCAACCCUUAUUGUUAGUUGCCAUCAUUAAGUUGGGCACUCUAGCGAGACUGCCGGUAAUAAACCGGAGGAAGGUGGGGAUGACGUCAAAUCAUCAUGCCCCUUAUGACCUGGGCUACACACGUGCUACAAUGGUCGGUACAACGAGUUGCGAGCCGGUGACGGCAAGCUAAUCUCUGAAAGCCGAUCUCAGUUCGGAUUGGAGGCUGCAACUCGCCUCCAUGAAGUCGGAAUCGCUAGUAAUCGCGGAUCAGCACGCCGCGGUGAAUACGUUCCCGGGCCUUGUACACACCGCCCGUCACACCACGAGAGUUUGUAACACCCGAAGUCGGUGAGGUAACCUUUUAGGGGCCAGCCGCCUAAGGUGGGANGGA
This 847-nucleotide ribosomal RNA is filed under the name uncultured bacterium. RNAcentral's name for it is "bacterial SSU rRNA". It matches the Rfam family "Bacterial small subunit ribosomal RNA", at positions 625 to 1471 of the family's 1533-position model. The record is from RNAcentral.